CCGCCCGUCCCGUCCCGGAUGCGAUCUCCUUGGAGUCGGGUUGCUUGGGAGUGCAGCCCUAAUCGGGUGGUAAACUCCACCUAAGGCUAAAUACCGCCGUGAGACCGAUAGCAAACAAGUACCGUGAGGGAAAGUUGCAAAGAACUUUGAAGAGAGAGUUCAAGAGUACGUGAAAUUGCUCAGAGGUAAACGGGUGGGCCCUCGAAAUCCUGUGGCGAGAGGAUUCAGUGCGGCGCGUGGCCGGUGCCGGGGGAAGAACCGUAUGGCUUCCCGGGACUGGGACCGUCCCCUGGUGCCGCGUUCUCGCGCCGUACGCAUUUGUCUCUCGCCCGAAGGACGCUGCAGCCGGUUCGGAAGCGCAAGCGCGACGGCCUGAAGGUCGGGAGAUGGCAGGUGGCCGGUGGUUUGCCUCGUGCGGACCGCCGGUUGUUAGCCGUCCCGUCAGUGGCUCGUCUCCGGACCGUGGUGUCGCGAGCCCCUUCGGGGGCUCCUCGUCUCCACCCCUUGAUCGUGGGACAGAUCGCGGCAAGGAUCGUUCGCCGACCGGUCGCACUGCCACGCAGUGGGCCGACAGGCGCGCGGCCCCGUUCGCCGUGACGGACCCGCGGGGGACCGGAGGCUGGCAGCGAGUAGGUCGGUCACCCACCCGACCCGUCUUGAAACACGGACCAAGGAGUCUAACAUGUGCGCGAGUCAAUGGGUCUUGAAUAGGCCCAGGGGCGCAAUGAAAGCGAAGGUCUGCCGAGCGUAGACCGAGUCGGGAUCCCCCGUCCCGCGUGGCGGGGGCGCA
RNAcentral lists this ribosomal RNA (790 nucleotides) under Neon reticulatus. RNAcentral's name for it is "eukaryotic LSU rRNA". It matches the Rfam family "Eukaryotic large subunit ribosomal RNA", at positions 230 to 757 of the family's 3401-position model. The record is from RNAcentral. Lineage: Eukaryota; Metazoa; Arthropoda; Arachnida; Araneae; Salticidae.